UAGGGAAUAUUGCAUAAUGGGCGAAAGCCUGAUGCAGCAACGCCGCGUGUGCGAUGAAGACCCUCGGGUCGUAAAGCACUUUUACAGGGGAAGAGGAAGGACGGUACCCUGUGAAUAAGCCUCGGCUAACUACGUGCCAGCAGCCGCGGUAAAACGUAGGAGGCGAGCGUUAUCCGGAUUUACUGGGCGUAAAGCGCGUGUAGGCGGUUUAGAAAGUUGGAUGUGAAAGCUCUCGGCUUAACUGGGAGAGGUCGUUCAAAACUACUAAACUAGAGAGUGGUAGAGGGAGAUGGAAUUCCGGGUGUAGUGGUGAAAUGCGUAGAUAUCCGGAGGAACACCAGUGGCGAAAGCGGUCUCCUGGACCAAAUCUGACGCUCAGACGCGAAAGCUAGGGUAGCAAACG
This 403-nucleotide ribosomal RNA is filed under the name uncultured prokaryote. RNAcentral describes it as "bacterial SSU rRNA". It matches the Rfam family "Bacterial small subunit ribosomal RNA", at positions 355 to 774 of the family's 1533-position model. The record is from RNAcentral.